Long non-coding RNA from Tympanuchus pallidicinctus (lesser prairie-chicken), 451 nucleotides. RefSeq lists it as uncharacterized. The record is from RefSeq and is a predicted model, not a curated record. The transcript has 2 exons. Lineage: Eukaryota; Metazoa; Chordata; Aves; Galliformes; Phasianidae.
UCCAAGGUACUCCCCUCCAUCCUCCUUCCGAGCUUAUCUUUCUGCAAGGACAGGUGAAUGACCAGAACAAUGACCAGUGUGAAGGGGCACAAAUGGGCACAAAUGUUAAUUAAACGAUUGAGGCUAUUUCUAUGUUUAUGCUGUAAACCUGACAUCCGAAAAGUUACGACCAAAUUUGUUUGUUAAGAAAGCAAUUGUUAGAAGUCAAUUAAGCAAUGAAGACAUUUGCAUCUGGGCGGCAAAGAUUUGUGUCUACUCGGUGUUUGUAUGAUCAGUGAAACGUCACGAAAGAGUGUGAACCUGCAGUACUCAGCCAAUGAGGAACCAGGGGAGAAAGAGAUCAGCGACGGGCAAUAGGGGAUAAAAGAUGUAACACUGCUUUCUCGGGGCUCUCCUGCUUGCAGGAGGCCCGCCAUUGCAAUUGCGAAUAAAAUCUGCUUUAUCAGAGAAA